This 161-nucleotide ribosomal RNA is filed under the name uncultured bacterium. Its description in RNAcentral is "partial 16S ribosomal RNA". It matches the Rfam family "Bacterial small subunit ribosomal RNA", at positions 393 to 539 of the family's 1533-position model. The record is from RNAcentral.
GACGCCGCGUGCGGGAAGAAGGCCUUCGGGUUGUAAACCGCUUUCAGGAGGGACGAAGCCACUCGGGUUAAUAGCCCAGAGGGUGACGGUACCUCCAGAAGAAGCCCCGGCUAACUACGUGCCAGCCCCUGCGGUGACUGAGCGGGCUGGCAAGGCGCAUA